Molecule: long non-coding RNA, 501 nt
Organism: Pseudophryne corroboree (corroboree frog)
Lineage: Eukaryota; Metazoa; Chordata; Amphibia; Anura; Myobatrachidae
Exons: 3
Source: RefSeq, a predicted model, not a curated record
CUAGUCUCCCUCUGGUGCCGGAUCUUCUACACGGAGCUGCUGGCUGUGGAGGGCUGUCGGGCGCCAUCUUGUGAUUGGCGGAACGAAAAGGACUGAGCUGGUCGCAAUGGCUGAGUAAGUCUGGAGCUACUCAGAAACUGCGAGGUACCGUAAUUUCGGGCUAAGAUUGGUCCAGCAAUCUUACAAACUUGUCCGAUAAGAGGAACAAGAUGGCGGGAGCCUCAUGACUCAUGAAGAAUCAUCCUUCAGCACUCAGGAGAGGAAAAACCACCUUGUGGAGGAAACCUCUGGGGACCCAUGGCUGAAGGACUGCCUGUCCCUCUAGGCAUUAAGAGACUAUGCAGAGUUUGCCCAGACCACCCGCCCACCCACUAACCUUGCCUAACCCAGUCAUCCCUUCUGUCGCCUCAAAUCUGCUAUUUUGACAUAUUUACCCAGCCGGAGAAAAACGCAUCUACACGUCAAUGGUGAGAGAGUGAAGAAAGAGAGCAAGAGAUGAAU